Molecule: unclassified non-coding RNA, 214 nt
Filed under: Hevea brasiliensis (rubber tree)
Lineage: Eukaryota; Viridiplantae; Streptophyta; Magnoliopsida; Malpighiales; Euphorbiaceae
Source: RNAcentral
GGAAUCAUUCCUCAAGAACCAACACUUUUCCAAGGUUCAGUAAGAUACAAUCUCGACCCCCUGGGACAACAUACAGAUCAACAAAUAUGGGAGGUUCUUGAUAAAUGUCAGCUGCAAGAAGCUGUUCAAGAAAAGGGACAGGGACUUGAUUCUCUUGUUUCUGAAGACGGAUCAAAUUGGAGCAUGGGGCAGCGACAACUAUUUUGCUUGGGGC